UACGGGGGGGGCAAGCGUUGUUCGGAAUUACUGGGCGUAAAGGGUUAGUAGGUGGCCAACUAAGUCAGACGUGAAAUCCCUCAGCUUAACUGGGGAACUGCGUCUGAGACUGAUUGGCUCGAGGACAGGAGAGGAACGCGGAAUUCCAGGUGUAGCGGUGAAAUGCGUAGAUAUCUGGAGGAACACCGGUGGCGAAGGCGGCGUUCUGGACUGUUUCUGACACUGAGGCACGAAAGCUAGGGGAGCAAACAGG
This 253-nucleotide ribosomal RNA is filed under the name uncultured prokaryote. RNAcentral describes it as "partial 16S ribosomal RNA". It matches the Rfam family "Bacterial small subunit ribosomal RNA", at positions 524 to 776 of the family's 1533-position model. The record is from RNAcentral.